GCUGGGGAUAUAGCUCAGUUGGUUGAGUGUUUGCCUUACAUACACAAGGCCCUGGGUUCAAUCCCCAGCACCACAGUA
Molecule: transfer RNA, 78 nt
Filed under: Marmota monax (woodchuck)
Lineage: Eukaryota; Metazoa; Chordata; Mammalia; Rodentia; Sciuridae
Description: tRNA.Val
Rfam family: tRNA (bases 4-73)
About the family: Transfer RNA (tRNA) molecules are approximately 80 nucleotides in length. Their secondary structure includes four short double-helical elements and three loops (D, anti-codon, and T loops). Further hydrogen bonds mediate the characteristic L-shaped molecular structure. tRNAs have two regions of fundamental functional importance: the anti-codon, which is responsible for specific mRNA codon recognition, and the 3' end, to which the tRNAs corresponding amino acid is attached (by aminoacyl-tRNA synthetases). tRNAs cope with the degeneracy of the genetic code in two manners: having more than one tRNA (with a specific anti-codon) for a particular amino acid; and 'wobble' base-pairing, i.e. permitting non-standard base-pairing at the 3rd anti-codon position.
Source: RNAcentral